UACGGAGGGUGCAAGCGUUGUUCGGAUUUAUUGGGCGUAAAGCGCGUGUAGGCGGUUUUGUAAGUCUGAUGUGAAAGCCCUGGGCUCAACCCGGGAAGUGCAUUGGAUACUGCAAGACUUGAAUACGGGAGAGGAGAGUGGAAUUCCUGGUGUAGGAGUGAAAUCCGUAGAUAUCAGGAGGAACACCGGUGGCGAAGGCGGCUCUCUGGACCGAUAUUGACGCUGAGACGCGAAAGCGUGGGUAGCAAACAGG
This 253-nucleotide ribosomal RNA is filed under the name uncultured bacterium. RNAcentral's name for it is "partial 16S ribosomal RNA". It matches the Rfam family "Bacterial small subunit ribosomal RNA", at positions 524 to 776 of the family's 1533-position model. The record is from RNAcentral.